GCGAGUCUUGUAGCAUACAAGGCGGACGGCUCAGUAACACGUAGUCAACCUAACCUAUGGACGUGGAUAACCUCGGGAAACUGAGAAUAAACCAUGAUAGAUCAUAAUGCCUGGAAUGGCUUAUGGUUCAAACAAUUUAUUGCCAUAGGAUGGGACUGCGGCCUAUCAGCUUGUUGGUGAGGUAAUGGCCCACCAAGGCUAUAACAGGUACGGGCUCUGAGAGGAGAAGCCCGGAGAUGGGUACUGAGACACGGACCCAGGCCCUAUGGGGCGCAGCAGGCGAGAAACCUUAGCAAUGUGCGAAAGCACGACUAGGUUAAUCCGAGUGGUUCCUGCUAAAGGAACCUUUUGUCAGUCGUAAAACCACAGACGAAUAAGGGGUGGGCAAGUCUGGUGUCAGCCGCCGCGGUAAUACCAGCACCUCGAGUGGUCAGGAGGUUUAUUGGGCCUAAAGCAUCCGUAGCCGGCUUUGCAAGUCUCCGGUUAAAUCCAACUGCUUAACAGAUGGGCUGCCGGAGAUACUACAAAGCUAGGGAGCGGGAGAGGUAGACGGUACUCGGUGGGUAGGGGUAAAAUCCACUGAUCCAUCGAAGACCACCAGUGGCGAAGGCGGUCUACCAGAACGCGUUCGACGGUGAGGGAUGAAAGCUGGGGGAGCAAACCGGAUUGAUACCCGGGUAGUCCCAGCUGUAAACGAUGCAAACUCGGUGAUGCGUUGGCUUAUGGCCAACGCAGUGCCGCAGGGAAGCCGUUAAGUUUGCCGCCUGGGAAGUACGGACGCAAGUCUGAAACUCAAAGGAAUUGACGGAAUCACU
This 815-nucleotide ribosomal RNA is filed under the name uncultured archaeon. RNAcentral describes it as "bacterial SSU rRNA". It matches the Rfam family "Archaeal small subunit ribosomal RNA", at positions 53 to 880 of the family's 1478-position model. The record is from RNAcentral.